AACGAACGCUGGCGGCAGGCUUAACACAUGCAAGUCGAGCGCCCCGCAAGGGGAGCGGCAGCCGGGUGAGUAACGCGUGGGAACGUACCUUUUGGUUCGGAACAACUCCGGGAAACUGGAGCUAAUACCGGAUAAGCCCUAACGGGGAAAGAUUUAUCGCCGAAAGAUCGGCCCGCGUCUGAUUAGCUAGUUGGUGAGGUAACGGCUCACCAAGGCGACGAUCAGUAGCUGGUCUGAGAGGAUGAUCAGCCACACUGGGACUGAGACACGGCCCAGACUCCUACGGGAGGCAGCAGUGGGGAAUAAUGGACAAUGGGCGCAAGCCUGAUCCAGCCAUGCCGCGUGAGUGAUGAAGGCCUUAGGGUUGUAAAGCUCUUUUGUCCGGGAAGAUAAUGACUGUACCGGAAGAAUAAGCCCCAGCUAACUUCGUG
This 431-nucleotide ribosomal RNA is filed under the name uncultured bacterium. Its description in RNAcentral is "partial 16S ribosomal RNA". It matches the Rfam family "Bacterial small subunit ribosomal RNA", at positions 29 to 507 of the family's 1533-position model. The record is from RNAcentral.